RNAcentral lists this ribosomal RNA (553 nucleotides) under uncultured bacterium. RNAcentral's name for it is "partial 16S ribosomal RNA". It matches the Rfam family "Bacterial small subunit ribosomal RNA", at positions 355 to 900 of the family's 1533-position model. The record is from RNAcentral.
UAGGGAAUCUUCCACAAUGGACGCAAGUCUGAUGGAGCAACGCCGCGUGAGUGAAGAAGGUUUUCGGACCGUAAAGCUCUGUUGUUGGUGAAGAAGGAUAGAGGUAGUAACUGGCCUUUAUUUGACGGUAAUCAGCCAGAAAGUCACGGCUAACUACGUGCCAGCAGCCGCGGUAAUCGUAGGUGGCAAGCGUUGUCCGGAUUUAUUGGGCGUAAAGCGAGCGCAGGCGGAAGAAUAAGUCUGAUGUGAAAGCCCUCGGCUUAACCGAGGAAUUGCAUCGGAAACUGUUUUCUUGAGUGCAGAAGAGGAGAGUAGAACUCCAUGUGUAGCGGUGGAAUGCGUAGAUAUAUGGAAGAAUACCAGUGGCGAAGGCGGCUCUCUGGUCUGCAACUGACGCUGAGGCUCGAAAGCAUGGGUAGCGAACAGGAUUAGAUACCCUGGUAGUCCAUGCCGUAAACGAUGAGUGCUAAGUGUUGGGAGGCUUCCGCCUCUCAGUGCUGCAGCUAACGCAUUAAGCACUCCGCCUGGGGGAGUACGACCGCAAGGUUGAAAC